CUAUUAGGUUGGUGCAAAAGUAAUUGCGGGUUUUGCCAUUAAAAGUCAUAGGGGAAAACUCAAUUACUUUUGCACUAAUUUAAUAC
This is a microRNA precursor of Aotus nancymaae (Ma's night monkey), 86 nucleotides long. NCBI's taxonomy places the organism in Eukaryota, Metazoa, Chordata, Mammalia, Primates, Aotidae. The record is from Ensembl.